CAAUAGCGUAUAUUAAAGUUGUUGCGGUUAAAAGCUCGUAGUUGGAUUUCCGCCGAGGACGACCGGUCCGCCCUCUGGGUAAGUAUCUGGUUCGGCCUGGGCAUCUUCUUGGAGAACGUAUCUGCACUUGACUGUGUGGUGCGGUAUCCAGGACUUUUACUUUUGAGGAAAUUAGAAUGUUUCAAGCAGGCACACGCCUUGAAUACGUUAGCAUGGAAUAAUAAGAUAGGACCUUGGUUCUAUUUUGUUGGUUUCUAGAGCCGAGGUAAUGGUUAAUAGGGAUAGUUUGGGAUUCGUAUUUAACUGUCAGAAGUGAAAUUCUUGGAUUUGUUAAAGACGGACUACUGCGAAAGCAUUUGCCAAGGAUGUUUUCAUUGAUCAAGAACGAAAGUUAGGGGAUCGAAGAUGAUUAGAUACC
Molecule: ribosomal RNA, 418 nt
Filed under: uncultured eukaryote
Lineage: Eukaryota
Description: SSU rRNA
Rfam family: Eukaryotic small subunit ribosomal RNA
Source: RNAcentral